RNA transcript from Drosophila willistoni, 2401 nucleotides. It is a transcript of the gene named trehalase, with no coding region annotated. The record is from RefSeq and is a predicted model, not a curated record. The transcript has 6 exons. Lineage: Eukaryota; Metazoa; Arthropoda; Insecta; Diptera; Drosophilidae.
GAAACAAAGUUCCUAGAAAAAAGAAAACAAUCGUCGAAUUUGUGUUGUUAUGUUUAAAAUGAAAUUAAUUUUCGGGCUCCUGUCGAGCCUCCUGAUCGUUCUGAAUGUGUGUCAGGCAAGGUCACCCGAUGCCCUGAAUCGAAAUGCCAUUGCCAAGGAUGUGGAGCAAUUCAAUUUCGAAAGUUGCCAAAUCUAUUGCUAUGGCAAUCUACUGCACACCAUUCAAAUGGCCAAAUUAUAUGAUGAUUCAAAGACGUUUGUGGAUAUGAAACUCAUUCAGUCGCCAGCCAAGACUUUGGAAGAGUUUGAUGCAUUGAUGGCAGCCAAAAAUAAUACACCCAGUAAAGAGGAUCUUCAGACAUUUGUGAAUACUUACUUUGGGGAGAAGGGAACCGAAUUGGAAUUGUAUACGCCCACCGACUGGAAAGAGCAUCCAGCAUUCGUUGAUCAGAUCACCGAUCCAGAUCUAAAGCAAUGGGGCAUUGAUCUGAACAACAUUUGGAAGCAAUUGGGUCGAAAGAUGAAGGACGAUGUGAAAAACAAUCCGGACUACUACUCCAUCAUAUAUGUGCCUAAUCCCGUAAUCAUCCCAGGCGGUCGCUUCAUUGAGUUCUAUUACUGGGACUCGUAUUGGAUCAUUCGAGGAUUACUCUACAGCGAGAUGUACGAUACGGCGCGUGGCAUGAUUGAAAACUUCUUGUCCAUUGUGCAGAGAAUCGGUUUCAUUCCAAAUGGUGGCCGAGUUUACUAUUGGGGACGCUCUCAGAUGCCCUUGCUGACGGCCAUGGUAAAGUCCUAUGUGGAUUUCACCAACGACUAUGUGUUUGCCAUCAAUGCCCUGGAGACCCUGGAGCAUGAGUUCGAAUAUUUCAUCAAUAAUCACACCGUGCAGGCCAAGGGUCAUGAUCUGUACGUAUAUAGCGACUUCUCAACGGGUCCCAGGCCAGAGUCCUACAGCGAGGAUGUUGAGACUGCGCGUAUAUUUGAAACUGAGGAGGCCAAAGAAGCAUUCUACAGUGAGAUCAAAUCGGGAGCUGAAUCAGGAAUGGAUUUCAGUUCGCGUUGGUUCAUCAACGAGAAUGGAACAAAUGUGGGCAAUCUCUCUACUAUUAAGACACGUUCUGUUGUGGCCGUUGACCUGAAUGCUUUGCUUCAUUGGAACGCCAAAAUAAUUGCAGAGUUUCACUCAAAAGCUGGCAACACCGAGAAGGUGACAGAAUACGAGACGAAGGCUCAAAAAAUCAUGGAGGGUAUACAAGCAGUUCUUUGGAACGAGGAGGCUGGUUGCUGGCUGGACUAUGAUUUGAUCAAUGAGAAGCCUCGCGACUAUUUUGUACCCACAAAUUUAUCGCCCCUUUGGAUGAACGCCUACAACAUUUCCGACACUGAAAAAAUCUCAGCCUCCGUUCUGAAGUACAUUGAACGCAAUAAUCUCGACCAGUUCCCAGGAGGUGUGCCAAACACACUGUACAACACUGGUGAGCAGUGGGACAUGCCCAAUGUCUGGGCUCCCAUGCAAUAUAUUCUAGUCGAAGGCCUCAGCAAUCUGGGCACACCGGCGGCCAAGGAGUUGUCCAAAAAGUGGGCACAUCGUUGGGUCCUCUCCAACUUCAAGGCCUACAGCGAUACCUUCAACAUGUAUGAAAAGUACAAUGCCGAGGAGUAUGGCGGCCAUGGUGGAGGCGGUGAAUAUGGUGUACAAACUGGUUUUGGCUGGUCCAAUGGAGUCAUCAUCGAGUGGCUGACCAAGCAUGGACGCGAAGUUAAUCAAAGCACAGAGGGUGGAGGUGGCGGAGCAGGUGAAAAGCGACAAUAGAAUCUCCUAGACAGGCCACAUUCAAUGCCAAAAACCAUACAACAAAACAAAUCCGAUAUCAAAUUCAUCAAUUUGUGUAUCAUUCUCUCAAGCAAAUCCAAAUCGAAUCUGGGAGGCUCAAAGCCAAACUUUAAAGCUCACCUUCUUACACUUAGUACCAACUUAAAACAACACUCAUCGAUUUGCUCAUCAACAUCAUCAUCAUCGUCAUCAAAAUAUAUAGGAUAAGCUCUCACUAUCCUGUCCUGCUGCUUCUGCUAACCUGCUUCUAUCUAUCUCUGAAUCGCGUACAAGAUCAACAACAAAAAACAAAAAAAAAACUAAAGCAACCAACAAGCACCUAGAAAACACGCACGUUUAGGAAUUAUUCUAGAGGAGAUCGACAACCAUCCACAACCACCAUCAACCAUCAUCUUAGCUAUCUUAUCCUUCUAUGCUUACCAUUUCUCGUUCGUCAUCGUUUGUUGUGUCCUGUUCAAAUCGAAAAAUCACGCUAAGCGGAAAGAAUACGGAAGACCAACCACUCGUCUGAUCAGCCUAUUGGGAGUGGCAUCAGUUGCACUAGUUGCCAUUUUAGUCGGACGU